CGCCCUUAGAGUUUGAUCCUGGCUCAGGACGAACGCUGGCGGCGUGCCUAAUACAUGCAAGUCGAGCGAGCUUGCCUAGAUGAAUUUGGUGCUUGCACCAGAUGAAACUAGAUACAAGCGAGCGGCGGACGGGUGAGUAACACGUGGGUAACCUGCCCAAGAGACUGGGAUAACACCUGGAAACAGAUGCUAAUACCGGAUAACAACACUAGACGCAUGUCUAGAGUUUAAAAGAUGGUUCUGCUAUCACUCUUGGAUGGACCUGCGGUGCAUUAGCUAGUUGGUAAGGCAACGGCUUACCAAGGCAAUGAUGCAUAGCCGAGUUGAGAGACUGAUCGGCCACAUUGGGACUGAGACACGGCCCAAACUCCUACGGGAGGCAGCAGUAGGGAAUCUUCCACAAUGGACGCAAGUCUGAUGGAGCAACGCCGCGUGAGUGAAGAAGGGUUUCGGCUCGUAAAGCUCUGUUGGUAGUGAAGAAAGAUAGAGGUAGUAACUGGCCUUUAUUUGACGGUAAUUACUUAGAAAGUCACGGCUAACUACGUGCCAGCAGCCGCGGUAAUACGUAGGUGGCAAGCGUUGUCCGGAUUUAUUGGGCGUAAAGCGAGUGCAGGCGGUUCAAUAAGUCUGAUGUGAAAGCCUUCGGCUCAACCGGAGAAUUGCAUCAGAAACUGUUGAACUUGAGUGCAGAAGAGGAGAGUGGAACUCCAUGUGUAGCGGUGGAAUGCGUAGAUAUAUGGAAGAACACCAGUGGCGAAGGCGGCUCUCUGGUCUGCAACUGACGCUGAGGCUCGAAAGCAUGGGCAGCGAACAGGAUUAGAUACCCUGG
Molecule: ribosomal RNA, 829 nt
Filed under: uncultured bacterium
Lineage: Bacteria
Description: bacterial SSU rRNA
Rfam family: Bacterial small subunit ribosomal RNA
Source: RNAcentral